GCCUUAGCCUCGGAUUCCGCCCCCCUCGCGGGGAACGUGUGUCUGCGCUUGCGCGGUGGGCUUCCUAAGGGCCUAGGAUUUGGGUCUUGAAACUGGUUCCGAGGAAGUGGGGUAAGGGGAGACCUCCAGCCUGGGAUACUCAGGAACUUCCAAGGAUUCCUUCCUUCCUAGGGAGUCCGGAGAGACCCUUCAGAGCUCAAGUCUGGAGCUCCUCUGACAGGAGAUGGCCACCCCGAGUAUCUUAGCACACUAAAGAGGCAACCAAGUUGGGGGAGGAAUCCAGUCUUCGCGGGUUCUUCCUUUGCCCCAGUAGGGUGAGGGACAGAGAUGAGGGGAUGCAAAGCCACCCCUGACAGGACAAAUCAUAGGAUUGCCUACUAGGGAAGUAGAACAAAGGGUUGAAGUAAUCCUGCGUUCCAGCCCCAAUUCCAUGUGACUCAAGAGACCUUCCAGUGGUUUCCCAAGUCCCUCUUGGGACUACGUUGUGUGGAUCAGGGGACUAGUUACAGAGGAGAAAUAUAAGGUAUCCAGGAACUAAACUGAUCUGUACAAUAAUAAAGAGCUGGCUCAGAAGAGAUUUAAGAGUGAUUUUACAGCCUUUCCUGAUGCCUCAGAGGUAAAGAAUCUGCUUGCCAAUGUAGGAGACUCAGAUUCCAUCCCUGGGUCUGGAAGAUCCCCUGCAGAAGGAAAUGGCAACCCACUCCAGUAUUCUUGCCUGGGAAACACCAUGGACAGAAGAGCCUGAAGGGCUACAGUCCACAGGAUGGCAAGAGUCAGACGUGACUUAACGACUAAACAACAACCAGUCCUUUUAGUCAGUUGCAGGAGAGAGGAAGAUAAGAAGAUGAGAAAAAUGAAAUAGCACCUGUCAUAAUGAGAGGAACUUGGAGGACCUGGAUGGUUGAAAGGACUGUUUAAACAUUUUGUCAAAGUCUUAUAGUAUACUUUUCACCUUUGAUGUCUCUUUAAAAUUCUUCCCUGAAAGUC
Molecule: long non-coding RNA, 987 nt
Organism: Bos taurus (domestic cattle)
Lineage: Eukaryota; Metazoa; Chordata; Mammalia; Artiodactyla; Bovidae
Source: Ensembl